Molecule: ribosomal RNA, 356 nt
Filed under: uncultured eukaryote
Lineage: Eukaryota
Description: partial 18S ribosomal RNA
Rfam family: Eukaryotic small subunit ribosomal RNA
Source: RNAcentral
CAAUAGCGUAUAUUAAAGUUGUUGCAGUUAAAAAGCUCGUAGUUGAAUUUAUGUUGCGGCGCCCACGUGCCACAUUACGGUGUGUGUGGUGCUUCAUCUUAUUCCCAUUUCACUUAAUUGUUGUUUUGGGAUUGUUUACUUUGAGAAAAAUUGAGUGUUUCAAGCAGGCUUUGCCUUGAAUACUGCAGCAUGGAAUAAUGAGAUAGACCUACAUUCCUAUUUCGUUGGUUUUGAGGGAUGAGAGAUGAUUAAUAGGGAUAGUUGGGGGCAUUUGUAUUCGACUGUCAGAGGUGAAAUUCUUAGAUUUGUCUAAGACAAACAACUGCGAAAGCAUUUGCCAAGGAUUUUCUCAUUAA